This 841-nucleotide long non-coding RNA is filed under the name Pongo abelii (Sumatran orangutan). RNAcentral describes it as "lincRNA". Lineage: Eukaryota; Metazoa; Chordata; Mammalia; Primates; Hominidae. The record is from RNAcentral.
CCAGACGGAAGAAUGUGAUAUGCAUAUUUGGAGUCUGUCUUUCUUGGGGAAGAAAACACAUGCACAAAUCCUGGUGUUAGGAAUAUUUUAAGCGUAUAUCUUCAAUAUUAUUCAUCCAGGACUGAUCAAGACCAACCCUCUUCCUCCUCCUCUGCCUACUCAAUGUGAAGACAAUGAGCAUGAACAACUUUAUGAUGCUCCACUUCCACUUAUUGAAUAGUGCUACACAUGAAACUUCUAACCAGUUACUACAGGCAAAAGCAAAUCCAUUUUCUUCAGGCUGGUGUCAUCAGGGAGAGAAGCUUUGGUUUCCAUAUAAGGAUAUACGAUCAUUGACGUAAAACGACAUGUAACCUCUCAAAUUGAGAGAAUGGAUUGCAGAGCUAUUGUUGACCAUGUUUUCCCCUGUAUCUCACCUUCCCCUCUCCAAGACUUUCUUGUCAAUUACCCAUAUUGAUAUCAGUUUAUCCACAUCCAUGCUUUCAAGUUUAAACAAAGAAACUAGGCAAAGGCAGCUAUGUAUUCGCUAGGAUUAGGGAGAAGAUAAUCAACCACUGGGUGGUGAGAAGAAAGAGAGGUGGAGAAAGUGAGAGACCCCAGUAACAGAAGACAGAGAUACAUUGCUAAGGAUAGGGACACAUUCACUGUAAUAUAGAAGGCCAUGCUUAUAUGUAAAAUAUGCAAUAAUUGUAUAUAUAUGUACAAAAGUGAUAUACACAUAUGCACAUAAACAAAACACAAUUACUAUCUAUGUUUCUUUAUUUGUGACCUAAUGUUUUAUGUUGUUUGUAAGUGAAAAAAAAAAUUCCCUUCUGAAUAAAAUGUCAAUUGUGCGAUUGCA